This is a non-coding RNA of Vicugna pacos (alpaca), 835 nucleotides long. Lineage: Eukaryota; Metazoa; Chordata; Mammalia; Artiodactyla; Camelidae. The record is from RefSeq and is a predicted model, not a curated record.
GUCUUAGAAGGAUGAACUUGGUGUGCAGACUGGAGGGCUCAGGCAAGAAAAUGCAUACAAUGGGACAAUGACAGAGCAAAGUUAAAAUGAACCUUGAAAUGAAGUCACUUCUCAAAAUGCAUGCAAUAAGAUUCUGUACAGGUGGGACAUACAUUUUGCUUUAGGCUUCAAAAGCCAUUGGAAAAAGGGAAACAGAAUCAGCUAUAGGUAUCUACAAGAGAUGAAGACACUUCUUCAAAAGUGCACCUGUGAGACAGAAUGUUGUAGCUGACCUGGUUUUUCCCCUACAUGUUUAAUCUGAGAUACCAGGAGUCUGUCUCUUUCCAAGUUUACCAAGUGAAUGUUUGUCUGCAGAGUAAGUAAGUAAACACAUUGAACAAUCAUUAUUAAACAGUAUUCCUAAUGUAAUGAAAAUUGAAAGAAAUCCAAACUAGGCAUAUGCGUUUCAAGAAGUGAGUUGUGCCGAACGGAUCAAAUCGACAUCUGUUCAGGUGGAGGUGCAGCAGCCCUGGGAAUCAUCAGCCCCUGUCACUGGGGAUUCCUCAUCUGCUCAGCGCUGGAACUGGACGACAUAGUUAGAAUUUAUUACGCUAUUUGUUUAUUUACGGUUUUCUAACAUUUUUUAAUGUGAACUUUUCAAACACACAGAAAAGUUGGAAAUAAUGUAUAGUGAACAAGCCAUCUACCCACCACAUAGAAUCUACAAUUAACAUUUUGUUAUACUGGGUUUAUCACAGAUCUAUCCAUCUAUCCGUUUGUCCAUCCUUCAAUCUAGCUUUUAAAAUACACAUUUCAAAAUAAGUUGCUGACAUAAGACACUUCUUCCUAAAUACUU